CCUACGGGUGGCAGCAGUCGAGAAUCAUUCACAAUGGGCGAAACCCUGAUGGUGCGACGCCGCGUGGGGGAUUGAAGGUCUUCGGAUUGUAAACUCCUGUCAUGUGGGAGCAAAUUAAAAAGAUAGUACCACAAGAGGAAGAGACGGCUAACUCUGUGCCAGCAGCCGCGGUAAUACAGAGGGCGCAAGCGUUGUUCGGAAUCACUGGGCGUAAAGCGUGCGUAGGCUGUUUCGUAAGUCGUGUGUGAAAGGCGCGGGCUCAACCGGCGGACGGCACAUGAUACUGGGAGACUAGAGUAAGGGAGGGGGAAGCGGAAUUCGCGGUGUAGCAGUGAAAUGCGUAGAUAUCGGGAGGAACACUCGUGGCGAAGGCGGGUUCCUGGACAUUAACUGACGCUGAGGCACGAAGGCGAGGGGAGCGAAAGGGAUUAGAUACCCGUGUAGUC
RNAcentral lists this ribosomal RNA (446 nucleotides) under uncultured bacterium. RNAcentral describes it as "partial 16S ribosomal RNA". It matches the Rfam family "Bacterial small subunit ribosomal RNA", at positions 338 to 795 of the family's 1533-position model. The record is from RNAcentral.